Molecule: ribosomal RNA, 873 nt
Filed under: uncultured bacterium
Lineage: Bacteria
Description: bacterial SSU rRNA
Rfam family: Bacterial small subunit ribosomal RNA
Source: RNAcentral
GCUUACCAUGCAGUCGAGCGGGGGAAGGUAGCUUGCUACUGGACCUAGCGGCGGACGGGUGAGUAAUGCUUAGGAAUCUGCCUAUUAGUGGGGGACAACAUCUCGAAAGGGAUGCUAAUACCGCAUACGUCCUACGGGAGAAAGCAGGGGAUCUUCGGACCUUGCGCUAAUAGAUGAGCCUAAGUCGGAUUAGCUAGUUGGUGGGGUAAAGGCCUACCAAGGCGACGAUCUGUAGCGGGUCUGAGAGGAUGAUCCGCCACACUGGGACUGAGACACGGCCCAGACUCCUACGGGAGGCAGCAGUGGGGAAUAUUGGACAAUGGGGGGAACCCUGAUCCAGCCAUGCCGCGUGUGUGAAGAAGGCCUUAUGGUUGUAAAGCACUUUAAGCGAGGAGGAGGCUACUUUAGUUAAUACCUAGAGAUAGUGGACGUUACUCGCAGAAUAAGCACCGGCUAACUCUGUGCCAGCAGCCGCGGUAAUACAGAGGGUGCGAGCGUUAAUCGGAUUUACUGGGCGUAAAGCGUGCGUAGGCGGCUUAUUAAGUCGGAUGUGAAAUCCCCGAGCUUAACUUGGGAAUUGCAUUCGAUACUGGUGAGCUAGAGUAUGGGAGAGGAUGGUAGAAUUCCAGGUGUAGCGGUGAAAUGCGUAGAGAUCUGGAGGAAUACCGAUGGCGAAGGCAGCCAUCUGGCCUAAUACUGACGCUGAGGUACGAAAGCAUGGGGAGCAAACAGGAUUAGAUACCCUGGUAGUCCAUGCCGUAAACGAUGUCUACUAGCCGUUGGGGCCUUUGAGGCUUUAGUGGCGCAGCUAACGCGAUAAGUAGACCGCCUGGGGAGUACGGUCGCAAGACUAAAACUCAAAGGAAUUGACGG